UCGGAGCGGCCAAGGUGCUCACAAAUAUCGGAACACGCCUCUAUUGUCAGGGCGUUAGAGCGCGUGUUCAGAUAUUGUGAACACCUUGGCCGCUCCGAUAUAUCUGAUGGCGACUGUACGUAGUUAUUUACUUGAUGAAGGCGUAGUAGCUUGCAUUUAGUUGUAGCAAUUUAUUAAUUUAGGUGCUCCUUAGUGUACUUCAGUUGGAAUUCCUUUAUAAUCAGAAAUAUUUAAUAGCUUCUAUGAGAAAAACAGUAUGGAUAUAAUAUAUCUACGAGUACCACACGGGCGGGUACCACAGCCCUGGCGGCUACGGGCCACAGUUUUAUAAUAGUUGAAAAAUGUCAAUUAGUGUAAAAAAAUACUUAAAUUUUUUUUAUUACGCAACAUUUUGCCUCUAUAAUUUUUUUCGUAAUGAAAAGUAUUACUGGAAUGAUCUGCCGCCAGAGUGCAGCACUAGUGCACAUAGUAAACCAUUGAGUAACUUAACAGAAACAGUUUUUUGACAACUAGACAUUGAUGCAUCGAGGCGGUUUGUUUACAGGUGACCUACCGAGAAACGCGAAAAUCUAAAUUUCUUUAUCUGCCUCUACAUCGAUCGAAUAAAGCAAGUGAUAGAGAGGCAGAAACCGAACUUUCGGUUUUCGUGUUUCGCGGUAGGCCCUGUGAUUGUGCUAGUGACGCAGAGUUUUGCGUAAUAUUCCCUAUUGGUAACGAAUUUAUAAAUAAGUUCACACGAAACGAUUCCUUUGAUCGUAACUGGGUUACGAACUAAGAAUGAUUAUUCUCUUCUAAUACGUAACUGCGUUACGAAUAAUUUGCUAUUUAUUCUUGUACUCGUAACUUGGUUACGUAAGAAGACCAAGGGCUUGCCUCCAAACAUUCUACAUUUUGCUGGUUAAAUUUAAAUACUUACUUAAGUUAUUAUUUAAGAAUAAAUAUAAAAAUUAAUGGGCAGUAAUUUUAUUUAGUAGAUCAAUAAUUUUUAAAUUAAAUAAGUGUUUUUUCUAUAUUUACCUAAGCCUAAUGACCGAACUGGGAUAGAUAACCACAUAAACGUUAAAAUUGUAUUUUAUCGUAAUAACACUUACUUAAAAGUAAAUAAGUUUUAUUUUAAUGGUAAAUAUAGAUAAAUGCCGUGAUUAAAUCAUCUAACACAAUAAUUUAAUUAAAGAAGUAUAAGUACCUACUUAUUGAAUUUUUACUACAAUGAAUAUUUUUAAAUUUUUGUAAUACGUUAUCAUUAAAUUAUGUUUAAUUUAUAACUCAUUUACCUCUGAAGUGUAUUAGAUUAAUACAUAAAUAAUUAUGUAAAAUAAAUUAUUUUUAUUGUGAAA
This is a long non-coding RNA of Cydia splendana, 1337 nucleotides long. RefSeq lists it as uncharacterized. NCBI's taxonomy places the organism in Eukaryota, Metazoa, Arthropoda, Insecta, Lepidoptera, Tortricidae. The transcript has 2 exons. The record is from RefSeq and is a predicted model, not a curated record.